RNAcentral lists this ribosomal RNA (468 nucleotides) under uncultured bacterium. Its description in RNAcentral is "partial 16S ribosomal RNA". It matches the Rfam family "Bacterial small subunit ribosomal RNA", at positions 28 to 507 of the family's 1533-position model. The record is from RNAcentral.
GACGAACGCUGGCGGCGUGCUUAACACAUGCAAGUAGAACGGAAAGGCCCUGCUUUUGUGGGGUGCUCGAGUGGCGAACGGGUGAGUAACACGUGAGUAACCUGCCCUUGACUUUGGGAUAACAUCAGGAAACUGGGGCUAAUACAGGAUAGGAGCGCCUACUGCAUGGUGGGGGUUGGAAAGUUUCGGCGGUUGGGGAUGGACUCGCGGCUUAUCAGCUUGUUGGUGGGGUAGUGGCUUACCAAGGCUUUGACGGGUAGCCGGCCUGAGAGGGUGACCGGCCACAUUGGGACUGGGAUACGGCCCAGACUCCUACGGGAGGCAGCAGUGGGGAAUAUUGCACAAUGGGCGGAAGCCUGAUGCAGCAACGCCGCGUGCGGGAUGACGGCCUUCGGGUUGUAAACCGCUUUCGCCUGUGACGAAGCGUGAGUGACGGUAAUGGGUAAAGAAGCACCGGCUAACUACGUG